GAUGAACGCUGGCGGCGUGCCUAAUACAUGCAAGUCGAGCGAACGGACGAGAAGCUUGCUUUUCUGAUGUUAGCGGCGGACGGGUGAGUAACACGUGUAUAACCUACCUAUAAGACUGGGAUAACUUCGAGAAACCGGAGCUAAUACCGGAUAAUAUUUUGAACCGCAUGGUUCAAAAGUGAAAGACGGUCUUGCUGUCUCUUAUAGAUGGAUCCGCGCUGCAUUAGCUAGUUGGUAAGUUAACGGCUUACCAAGGCAACGAUGCAUAGCCGACCUGAGAGGGUGAUCGGCCACACUGGAACUGAGACACGGUCCAGACUCCUACGGGAGGCAGCAGUAGGGAAUCGUCCGCAAUGGGCGAAAGCCUGACGGAGCAACGCCGCGUGAGUGAUGAAGGUCUUCGGAUCGUAAAACUCUGUUAUUAGGGAAGAACAUAUGUGGAAGUAACUGUGCACAUCUUGACGGUACCUAAUCAGAAAGCCACGGCUAACUACGUG
This 497-nucleotide ribosomal RNA is filed under the name uncultured bacterium. RNAcentral's name for it is "partial 16S ribosomal RNA". It matches the Rfam family "Bacterial small subunit ribosomal RNA", at positions 28 to 507 of the family's 1533-position model. The record is from RNAcentral.